Molecule: long non-coding RNA, 233 nt
Organism: Nylanderia fulva
Lineage: Eukaryota; Metazoa; Arthropoda; Insecta; Hymenoptera; Formicidae
Source: RefSeq, a predicted model, not a curated record
CCAUGGAAAAGUGACAAUAAUGAAAUAAGCAAGGAGGAGACCUGGAUGGUAUCAGGCGAUGACAAAGCAAUAAUCAUAAGAGCAAUGUAGCUGACAACCUGAGAGGAGGAGAUGUAGGAAAGAUAUUGGGCAUCAGUGAACUAAUUUAGAAAUCAACAUAUAAUUGUUCAACUCUGCAGUCAACUUUGGACAUCAAAUGGUAUUGUACAUCAUGUGUGAGUUUUAAAUUAUUA